This 491-nucleotide ribosomal RNA is filed under the name uncultured bacterium. RNAcentral's name for it is "bacterial SSU rRNA". It matches the Rfam family "Bacterial small subunit ribosomal RNA", at positions 1 to 518 of the family's 1533-position model. The record is from RNAcentral.
AGGGUUCGAGUUCUGGCUCAGGACGAACGCUGGCGGCGUGCUUCAUACAUGCAAGUCGAACGAUAAGGUCUCUUCGGAGAUACAUAAGUGGCGGACGGGUGAGUAAAAUGUAGAGAAUCUGCCCUAGAGAGUGGGACAACAGAGGGAAACUUCUGCUAAUACCGCAUAUGAGCGUAGCUGAGAUGCUAUUCUUGAAAACUCCGGUGCUCUAGGAUGAGUCUGCAUCUGAUUAGCUAGUUGGGGGUGUAAUGGACCACCAAGGCGACGAUCAGUAGCUGGUUUGAGAGGAUGAUCAGCCACAAUGGGACUGAGACACGGCCCAUACUCCUACGGGAGGCAGCAGUAGGGAAUUUUGCGCAAUGGGGGGAACCCUGACGCAAGCAACGCCGCGUGACCGAUGAAGCCCUUCGGGGUGUAAAGGUCUGUCAGUGGGGACGAAGAAUGACGGUACCCACAGAGGAAGCAUCGGCUAACUCCGUGCCAGCCGCAGC